Molecule: ribosomal RNA, 468 nt
Filed under: uncultured bacterium
Lineage: Bacteria
Description: partial 16S ribosomal RNA
Rfam family: Bacterial small subunit ribosomal RNA
Source: RNAcentral
GACGAACGCUGGCGGCGUGCUUAACACAUGCAAGUCGAACGGAAAGGCCCUGCUUUUGUGGGGUGCUCGAGUGGCGAACGGGUGAGUAACACGUGAGUACCCUGCCCUUGACUUUGGGGUAACUUCAGGAAACUGGGGCUAAUACCGGAUAGGAGCUCCUGCUGCAUGGUGGGGGUUGGAAAGUUUCGGCGGUUGGGGCUGGACUCGCGGCUUAUCAGCUUGUUGGUGGGGUAGUGGCUUACCAAGGCUUUGACGGGUAGCCGGCCUGAGAGGGUGACCGGCCACAUUGGGACUGAGAUACGGACCAGACUCCUACGGGAGACAGCAGUGGGGAAUAUUGCACAAUGGGCGGAAGCCUGAUGCAGCAACGCCGCGUGCGGGAUGACGGCCUUCGGGUUGUAAACCGCUUUCGCCUGUGACGAAGCGUGAGUGACGGUAAUGGGUAAAGAAGCACCGGCUAACUACGUG